Molecule: ribosomal RNA, 405 nt
Filed under: uncultured bacterium
Lineage: Bacteria
Description: bacterial SSU rRNA
Rfam family: Bacterial small subunit ribosomal RNA
Source: RNAcentral
UGGGGAAUAUUGCACAAUGGACGAAAGUCUGAUGCAGCGACACCGCGUGAGGGAUGACAGCCUUAGGGUUGUAAACCUCUUUUAUUAGGGAAUAGCAAGGAAGGUACCUAAUGAAUAAGCUACGGCUAACUACGUGCCAGCAGCCGCGGUAAUACGUAGGUAGCGAACGUUGUCCGGAAUCACUGGGCGUAAAGGGUCCGUAGGCGGUUUAACAAGUCUCAUAUGAAAGCUUCAAGCUCAACUUGGAGAUGUUGUGAGAUACUGUUAGACUUGAGGCUGUUAGAGGCAAGUGGAAUUCCAGGUGUAGUGGUGAAAUGCGUAGAUAUCUGGAGGAACACCAGUGGCGAAAGCGACUUGCUGGAACAGUUCUGACGCUAAGGGACGAAAGCGUGGGGAGCAAACCGG